GACGAACGCUGGCGGCGUGCCUAAUACAUGCAAGUAGAACGCUGAAGGAGGAGCUUACUUCUCUGGAUGAGUUGCGAACGGGUGAGUAACGCGUAGGUAACCUGUCUGGUAGCGGGGAAUAACUAUUGGAAACGAUAGCUAAUACCGCAUAAGAGUAGAUGUUGCAUGACAUUUACUUAAAAGGUGCAAUUGCACCACUACCAGAUGGACCUGCGUUGUAUUAGCUAGCUGGUGGGGUAACGGCUUACCAAGGCGACGAUACAUAGCCGACCUGAGAGGGUGAUCGGCCACACUGGGACUGAGACACGGCCCAGACUCCUACGGGAGGCAGCAGUAGGGAAUCUUCGGCAAUGGACGGAAGUCUGACCGAGCAACGCCGCGUGAGUGAAGAAGGUUUUCGGAUCGUAAAGCUCUGUUGUAAGAGAAGAACGAGUGUGAGAGUGGAAAGUUCACACUGUGACGGUAUCUUACCAGAAAGGGACGGCUAACUACGUGCCAGCCGCCGCGGUAA
RNAcentral lists this ribosomal RNA (511 nucleotides) under uncultured bacterium. Its description in RNAcentral is "partial 16S ribosomal RNA". It matches the Rfam family "Bacterial small subunit ribosomal RNA", at positions 28 to 523 of the family's 1533-position model. The record is from RNAcentral.